Long non-coding RNA from Pseudophryne corroboree (corroboree frog), 1915 nucleotides. RefSeq lists it as uncharacterized. NCBI's taxonomy places the organism in Eukaryota, Metazoa, Chordata, Amphibia, Anura, Myobatrachidae. The transcript has 3 exons. The record is from RefSeq and is a predicted model, not a curated record.
UUUAGGCAGCUGCCUAUGAGCGCCGGCCACUGGAGGGCGGCAGAACACACUGAUGAGAAAAUGCUGUCUCUACAAAUCUGUCGCCCCCCACCUCCGUGAUAGCGCCUCACAUAUUCACUUGAGGGCUCAGGCAUGUUGCCUGCACCCUUACCACCCCCCAAUCCCCAGGGCCAGGGCACUUUUAUUUUCCCUUUGCAGCCACAUGCUGCAGUGUGCUCAUACAGAAGCCGACGCUCUGCUGAGUUUGCUUCCUGCAUGGACAGGAACAGGAAGUCACGUGGUGCACUGCACAUGUGACUGUGAGAGAGGAGAGGAGAGGAGCCUUCAGACGUGAGGAGCAGCAGCCCAGCAGGUCUAUCAGAAAGCCAUACCAUACGGGGGAGCACAGACUAAGGAGCAUGAAGCAGGAGGAUAUCCAGAUGGUAGAUUGACAAUAACAUGAUCGACAGUGAAUAAAUCGACAGAUAUUCAAUCCAAAGUCUCCAUCCCACUAAACAUUUUUUUUUCAAUACCUACAAAUUCGACACUUCCAUUCUACGCUAUUGUCACAGCUUAAUCAAAGAUCCCUUACUACAUUAGAAGAUCUCGCCCUACACAGGGACUCGACUAAAGGGCUUAUUGCCGCAAUCUAUGCAUCACUUUUGCUGCCCUCACAGGUGGACAGAGAUCUCCACGAAAGAGCGUGGGAAACAGAUUUAGGAGAAACACUAGAUAAUGAUGAAUGGACUGAUAUUUACUCAAAUCUAGCGUCGAACUCCAUUUGUGUACGAGCAAAAGAAAAUGCAUAUAAGCUUUUUUAUAGAAGGUAUUAUGUCCCUACUCGUCUUAACAAAUUGUACCCUGAAAUAUCUCCCUUAUGUUGGAGGUGCAACACAUCGGAUGGAACAUUUUCACAUAUUUGGUGGGGUUGCUCUAAAUUAUUUUCUUUAUGGAAAGAAUUAGGGUCUUUGACUAAUUCCAUUUUAGAUAUUCAGAUUCCUCUAUGCCCUAAAUAUUUUCUUCUUGCUGUGUUUGUCCCUGAGGCUUCUCGAUGCUUCUCGAUGUCAAAAAAAAUUAUACACCUAUAUAGUUCUGGUGGCUAGAUGAGUCAUAGCCUCGGCUUGGAAAUAUACGGAGGUACCUACCAUGGGGGAAAUUAUAGGCAAAAUUUGGCACAUUCACUCACUGUUUUAGUCUAUGAAAACAAUUACCUGUGCAUGGCAAACACCUAAUGAGACCACAAAUGUAUAAUGGCUCAAUCUGAUGUACUGAUCUCCCCAGUGACGUAUUUAUAAUUGGUGCAGUGUUUGCUGUGCACACGGGCAAACGGGGUCCAGGGGGGCCCACACCACACAUCCUGCACCAAUUUUUUUCAAUACUUACCCUCAGGAGUCCCACGUCGGCAGCAGCAGCGCUGCAGGAAUCACCAGGAAAAUGGUGCCGUGGCCAUUUUCCCCGCGUUUCACAUAUGUGCAGUAAGAAAAUAUCUGGGAAAAUGCCCGCAGUGCCAUUUUCCCGGAGACCUGCGCAUGUGCAUUAGACUCUGGGACAGCGCUAGGGUCCCCUAGUGGCCCUAGUGCCCAAAGUCUACAGCGCUGCCGGCAAGAGAGGAGGGGGCCCAGACGGAUCCUGCACAGGGGCCUCCUCCUCUCUUGAUACUCCCCUGCAUCUCCCUAAUGCUGGGUCAGAGCAAUUAUUGGAUCAGUGUGUACCUAUAUACACUAAGCAAGUUCUAGCUCAGUGUGUACUUCCUCAAGAUCUCUUCAACAGAAUUGGGAGACUGGGAGUGAAGCAGCAUGUGAACUUGUGAAGCACACCAGAUACCAACCUCCAAAUCUGACCAUUGCUGGACCGCAUAAAGCCAUUUACCAGCUAAAGGCCAAUACUCACGGCCCGAUGCUGGAAAGAUGUGUGCUGAGCGAACCGCUCAGCACAC